GUGGGGAAUAUUGGACAAUGGGGGGAACCCUGAUCCAGCCAUGCCGCGUGUGUGAAGAAGGCCUUUUGGUUGUAAAGCACUUUAAGCGAGGAGGAGGCUACCGAGAUUAAUACUCUUGGAUAGUGGACGUUACUCGCAGAAUAAGCACCGGCUAACUCUGUGCCAGCAGCCGCGGUAAUACAGAGGGUGCAAGCGUUAAUCGGAUUUACUGUGCGUAAAGCGCGCGUAGGUGGCCAAUUAAGUCAAAUGUGAAAUCCCCGAGCUUAACUUGGGAAUUGCAUUCGAUACUGGUUGGCUAGAGUAUGGGAGAGGAUGGUAGAAUUCCAGGUGUAGCGGUGAAAUGCGUAGAGAUCUGGAGGAAUACCGAUGGCGAAGGCAGCCAUCUGGCCUAAUACUGACACUGAGGUGCGAAAGCAUGGGGAGCAAACAGGAUUAGAUACCCUGGUAGUCC
This 451-nucleotide ribosomal RNA is filed under the name uncultured bacterium. RNAcentral's name for it is "partial 16S ribosomal RNA". It matches the Rfam family "Bacterial small subunit ribosomal RNA", at positions 354 to 796 of the family's 1533-position model. The record is from RNAcentral.